This is a non-coding RNA of Pantherophis guttatus, 606 nucleotides long. NCBI's taxonomy places the organism in Eukaryota, Metazoa, Chordata, Lepidosauria, Squamata, Colubridae. The record is from RefSeq and is a predicted model, not a curated record.
UGGGUGGAGCUAGGUGAAACAAAAUGGAUAAGGGACAAGCUGAAUUUAUAUCCAGUCAAGACCAAAGAAAUUAGUUUCUGGAACUGGGAUCAGUUUAUUCUGAGUGAAUUUGCGUCUCCCCUAAAAGGUUAUUCAUUGGAAGCUUUCUUACUGAUGUGGACUUUGAAGAAACAAGAUGGGAAAACUAUCGAUGCUUUUGAACUUGGGUGCUGGAGAAGACUCCUGGGAAUACCAUGGACAACCCAGAAAACAAAUGGACGAUCAAACAAAUCAACUCAGACUUCUCAUUCAAGGCACAAAUGACCAGUUCCAAAUUAUCCUACUUUGAACACUUACUGAAGACCUAGCCCUCUGGAAAAGGCUAUAAUGCUGGGAAUAGUGAAAAGGAAAGAGAGCAACUAGCAAGAAGGUGAAUAGAUUCAAUUACAGUGGAAAUAAAUAUACCAUUGGAAGAUCUGAAAGACUAGGUUAGGGACAGAUCAUCAUGGAGAAAAUUGAAGUUAACAGCAACCUGAUGGCAUAUAAUCAAGUCAAUCCUUACUGAUGCAAAAUUGCAGUAUUGAGAAUCUAAUAAAUAAAUGGUGAAAGGUUAGAAUCACCUCUACU